GGAGUUCGAUCCACCUCCACAGAACCAUCUAAAGAAACAACGUACAGUACCUGGAAAAUCGUCAAGGCGGCGCAGCUCCUGAUCGCCAACGACGUUCAAGGCAUCCAGGUGUGGUUGUCCUCCCACUCACUCCCUUCCCCAUCGUUGCUACACUUUGCUCGUCCGCGGGGCCAUGGGGCCCCUCGCGCCUGCCGGCCUGCAUCUGGAGCUCUCCGCUUGUUGCCGCUGCGGGCUAGGUGUUUGAUGAAAUGCCCAUGCAAGCUGACUGUUGUGUUUGCAAUUGGCUGUUACAGUUUUGCAUGUAUUCCUGGUUGAAUAUUAUCUAGAAUAGAUGGAUGACUACAAUGAAGUUCUGUUACCAAAAUUAGAACUCUAUAAUUUCAGCCAAAUUAGAACUCUAUAAUGUGAAUGCCAAUAGAGUAUACAUCAAUAAGGUAUAGAUAAUGAGAUUUAGCUGCUCUGCGAGUGCUGAGUUAUAUGGACAGAGAAUCUUGUGAAGCGAACUGCCAAAAACUACUUCAGUCCUUCAUCGCCGAUGUCUUCCGGAAGCUCUCGGAGGAGGCUGCUGGGAGCCAGUCUCGUCUGCUCUGCUCCGCGCCAUGAGAGCUCGCAGAAGCACGCUAUCGAUCUCCAAGCGCACCUCCAUGUUCACGUCCUGUAUUCCUCUUAUUAGGUUGCCUGUUUUCCCCCCUCCGGUACUAGUUAGCAGUAGGGUGGUGUUUCCAGUGGUGCCUAGAGAUGGCAACGGGUACAUACCCGUUGGGUACAACGAACCCAUACCCAUGCCCGUGAGAAAAAUUUAUGCCCGUUAAAAAACCCAUACCCGUUAACGGGUACAAAUUUGUGCCCAUACCCAUACCCGCAUGGGUAACGGUACCCACGGGUUACCCGUGGGCAACAAGCAGUGUGCUUCAGCUGUAUAGUUCAAGCUCUUUUGCCUUAGUUUUAUAGAGUGUGAGCUGCUUCACGUGCACUUAACCCAGCGAGGUGGGACUAAUAUGCUUGGCACUAGCACUAGAGCACCAAGCCGGCCCACAAUAGGAUCCGAUGGUUCGGCCACCAAGCAAGAAGAGUUGGCUUGUUCUUUUUUUGUCUAUACAAUUGUUUAAUAUUUCACUUGUAUCCAAAAGUUUCUAAAUAUAUUUAGUGAGCAUAUAAAAUAAUUAACUAAUAAAAGAAUCACAAUAUGGAGCCGGGUAAAAUUUACCCACGGGUUCGCGGGUAUGGGUACAACAGGAACGUAUAUGUACCCGCAAACCCGUUGGGUAUGAGUUUUUACCCAUUAACAAACCCACGGGUACAAAGAGUGACCCAUGCCCGUGCCCUAAUAGAGCAAAAACCCAUCGGGUUUCGGGUCACGGGUACCCAUUGCCAUCUUUAGUGGUGCCUCAGCUUGUACUGUACUCCUAUCUGAUAGGACAAGUGGCAGUAGUGACUGAUGGUUUCUGUGUAGACUGUAGUUAGAUCCCUAGUUGACUUUUGGACCAUCAAUGGGACAGUAUGCUAUUUCUUUUGGACUAAUGAUUGUUGUGAAGAAAUGGAAUACAGGAUUGGUUAUUGCUCAGGUUGUGAAACGAUUGCUAUGUGCGUGGUAACUCAAACUUGUACAUGCAUUGCUUGUUCUCGAAUGUGAAAUUCCUGUAGUGCAUCAAAAUUGGAAAUCUUUGCACCGAUUUUGGUUGAUGUGUGGUUUGUGCCACUGCUGUGGAGCUUCAAACAUUGCAUGCAUAAUGCGUAAAUUGUGCAUAAGUGUUGCCUUUUAGUUUUCACUCUAAUCUAAUGGAAAGGAGUACAGAUCUGAGCAUGUAUGGCUUUAUUCAUUUCAGGUAACAUAUUACACAUCUGCAGCAUAUCCUGUUCUACCUCCAGAUGUGAUCAUUGCUCUUGCAAAUGACUGCAAUUCGUGUGCUCUCAAGCUAGCAGGAAAAUAUGUGGUAUGAAUCUCUGAUUGCAUGCAUCUCUACUACUGCAUCUCUCAUCGGAGUUUGUUCCUUUGGAUGUUGCUUUGAGCAGGAUAUGGCAAGUCUGAAAACAGAAACCAAGCAAUCCUUAAUUCUGCUCCUUGCAAUGCUAUCUGUUGACUCUAAAUGCAGCCAGAGUGUCGAAUCUGCGAUAUCCAAGACCCUUUCGC
RNAcentral lists this long non-coding RNA (2131 nucleotides) under Sorghum bicolor (sorghum). RNAcentral describes it as "long non-coding RNA (SBIC_LNC004075)". The record is from RNAcentral. Lineage: Eukaryota; Viridiplantae; Streptophyta; Magnoliopsida; Poales; Poaceae.